This 1262-nucleotide ribosomal RNA is filed under the name Asymmetricata circumdata. Its description in RNAcentral is "16S ribosomal RNA". Lineage: Eukaryota; Metazoa; Arthropoda; Insecta; Coleoptera; Lampyridae. The record is from RNAcentral.
UGUUGAUGAAAUUAUUUAUUUAUAUCUUGUUAAAUUAUUAUUUUAUUUAUUAUUUAGAUAGAAAAAUUUUUUUUUAUUAUAGUAAAUUAGUAAUGUAAGUGAUUUUUUAAAAAUUUAAAUAAGCAAAAUUUAUUUUUUGUGCCUUGUGUAUCAGGGUUUAUUGAUUAAGAUUUAAUUAUUUAAUUUUCUCGAAUUUAAAAGUUCUAAUUAAAAAUUUAUUUAAUUGUUUCAUAAAUUUUUAUAUUUUUUAAUUAGAAAUGAAAUGUUAUUCGUUUUUAAAUAUAUCUAUUUUUUUAAGAAAAAAAUUUAAUUUUUUUAUUAUUUAUUUAUUGAUUAAUUUUUAGUUAUUAAUUUUUAGUAUAAAAUAUUUAGGGGGAUGAGCUCUUAUUUAUAUUGUUAAAAAAUUUUAUUUUGUUAUUUUUUGUAUAAUUUAAAUUGUUAAUCAAUAAAAUAAUUUUAUAGUUAAUCUUAAUUUUAAUAAGAUUUAUAUAGUUUUUAGCUUUUAUAUUAAAAUUUUUGGUUUAAUUUUCAUCUUAAUUAAUAAUGAUUAAAUUAGUAGGUAAAUAUUUAUUUAAUGUUAAGUUAUUAAGGUGAUAAAAAGGAAUUUGGCAAAUUAAUUUACGCCUGUUUAUUAAAAACAUGGUUUUUUGAUUAUAAUUUAAGAUUUAAUCUGCUCAAUGAUUUGUUUAAUUGCUGCAGUAUUUUGACUGUAGAAAGGUAGCAUAAUAAUUAGUUUUUUGAUUAGAAACUGGAAUGAAUGAUUGGUCGAGAAAAUUUCUGUCUCUUUAUUAUUUUUAUUGAAAUUUACUUUUAAGUUAAAAGGCUUAAAUUUUUUUAAAAGACGAGAAGACCCUAUAGAGUUUAAUUUUUAAAUUAAUUUAUAUAUUUUAGUAUAUAAUUAUUUAAAUUAAAUAAAAAAUUUUGUUGGGGUGACUUAAAGAUUUAAUUAAUUCUUAUAAUUGAAAUCAUAUAUUUAUGAAUAUAAAAUCUAUAUUUUUAAAUUUAAAUUAAAUUACCUUAGGGAUCAGCGGAAUUUUUCUUUAGAGCUCUUAAUGAAAGAAAAGAUUGCGACCUCGAUGUUGGAUUAAAAUUUAAUUUGGGUGUAGAAGCUUAAUAUAUUAAGUCUCUUGGACUUUUAAAAUUUUACAUGAUCUGAGUUUAAACCGGUGUGAGCCAGGUUGGUUUCUAUCUUUAAUUUUUUAAAAUAAUUUAGUACGAAAGGACCAAUUAUUUAAUAUAUUAUUUUUUAAUUGAAUAUAAUU